AAGCUAGAUUACCAAAGCAU
This 20-nucleotide microRNA is filed under the name Drosophila erecta. Its description in RNAcentral is "miR-79-RA". RNAcentral also lists the same sequence under 5 other names. The record is from RNAcentral. Lineage: Eukaryota; Metazoa; Arthropoda; Insecta; Diptera; Drosophilidae.